RNAcentral lists this long non-coding RNA (3571 nucleotides) under Rhinopithecus bieti (black snub-nosed monkey). Its description in RNAcentral is "lncRNA (ENSRBIG00000045331.1)". Lineage: Eukaryota; Metazoa; Chordata; Mammalia; Primates; Cercopithecidae. The record is from RNAcentral.
GAAACCCUGCCUGUGGUGAAGUGGUCCUCUGAGUGCCCCCACCAGCAGUCUAUCCUUAAGAGCAGAGGCAGGUGAGGAAGGGGUGGUGUGCUGCAGAGGGACAUCUUUCUGGGGCUCUUUUUUCAGAGACACCGCCCCCGUUCAUGAGGCCACUCAGUUCUAUGGAACCAUUUUGUUGAAGAACAAAGGUGAUAUUGAAGUUACACAGAUGACACAUUUUGGAACCCUAAAGGAAGGAAGAAGUAAAACCAUAGUGAUCUGGAUAGAGAAUAAAGGAGACAUUCCUCAAAACUUAGUCAGCUGUAAACUGGCUGGCUGGGAUCAAUCUAAACAAUUCAGAUUUCAAAUGCUGAAUAAAGACCAGACGUGCCCCAUGGUAUCUUUUGUUUCUGUUCCUGAGAAGGAGAAUUCAUCAGAUGAAAAUGUUAGUUCAUUAAAUAGCCACACAAAAAACACAGUCUCUCAGAUGUCAGAGAACGGUUUGGUGAACAACAGAAGAAUCUCUCCAGGUAGUGGACGUUACGGCUGUCACUGCAUGAGGUUGGGCGGGCCAGGGGCCAUGGGGUUGUGAGCUCUGGACAGAGGGCAGGCAGCAGGGGCCAGAAUACCCGGCAGCUGCAGUGCUUUGUGCUCUGAGCUCUUCGGCUUCAGGCCCUUCUCCUCUUGCUGACAAGGUUAGGGAGAGGGACAGAAAGCAGUUAGACAAAUACCAAGAGGUGCUUCAGAUGGCAGCCAGCUCCUGAGUGCUUCUAAGCAGGGAAAGAUUGCUGGGCACGCCAGGGAGGGCCUUCUUUCCCAGCACUUGGAUAGUCGUGGUCACAGCCCUUUCCUACUUCCAGCUGCUCUCUCUGUUUAUGUUUUUCCAGCCACCAUCUGAGACUUUGCCCUGUGUUUUUGUGUGCAUCUGUGUGUGUGUGUGUGUGUGUGUGAGAGAGAGAGAGAGAGAGAGUCUUCAUUUCCACUAAGCAUGCCAGCACUAUUAGAGAUAAUUUACCUUUUGGUCUAACUUUGUAUUAAAAUUUUUAUUUCCCAGGUGAUUAUACCUGUAAAGGAGAAAAUGGAGAAAAAGACAACAUUCUCUCAAGGAAGCAGAUGACAGAGCCCGAGCCUGGGGGGGCUUGUCCCUCCAGGGGGAAAAACCUUCAUUGUGGUCAUAUGUGAUGGAAAGUAAGGGCCUGGAGGUCUGAAGAAAGCCAACUUUUUAAGUUUCUCUGAUACUUCUAGGUUGGGCGUUAUACAAGGUACUCCUUUGAGGUGGGCAGAUCACCUGAGACCAGGAGUUCGAAACCAGCCUGGCCAACAUGGCAAAACCCCGCCUCUACUAAAAAUACCAAAAUUACUUGGGCCCCUGUAAUCCUAGCUACUCAGGAUGCUGAGGCAGUAGAAUCGCUUAAGCCCAGGUGACGGAGGUUGCAGUGAGCCAAAGAUCGCAUGACUGCACUCCAACCUGAGACAGAGCAAGACUCUGUCUCAAAAAAACAAAAAGGUACACCUGACUGUUUUGAUGUGACAGAAUCCUAAGAAAAAGCAUUGGUCUAGAAGCCGGCUACCAAGUGUGACCCACCUGGGGCAAUGGAUUCUGUAACUUCACACCACUCAUGAGGGUCCUCACCAGACGGCCUUGCUGUCACCCUCACAAAGGAAACAGGGCAUCUGUGAGGCUCUCUGAGGCCUGAGCUCCCUGUGCUUCUGCUCUUCUGAGACAUCACAUCGGCUCCUCUUCACUGCCUUGCCUGUGUUCCCCGUAGCCGAGCCCUUGGACCUUGGUCAUCUCCAUCCUGGCACCUGGGUGUUUGGCCAAGGCACGGACAGCACAGUGUGCUGAGGGAGGGCCAGGGACGGUCCCUUCCUAGCUGGGAUGCCAGUCACCAACCUUGAGCCCUCCCCUCUCCCUGCUGUGGUUGGCUACAUCAACUGACCAAACAGGCCCUGUCCUCCAGCUCCCUGUGUCCCCACAUCCCUGCCUAAGCUGCCCUACAGUGCGUGAUUGCCUUCCAGCUGGGUGUCUAAUCCUCAAUUUUUUUAAAAAAACAAAUCUGAUGAAAUCACAGCUCAUCAACAUCAAGCUGUGGGUGGCAAGUGCACAGUCAGCUGUGUGAGGUGCAGCCAGCUUCAGUGCUUUUUUCUUUUUUUUUUUUUGACCUUAUGACAACAUAGAAACAGGUUUAAAAAAAAAAAAAGAAAAGGCAUAGGUGGGCACAACGUGUAGUGUGGAUGGUGUAGCCCCAGUUAGAGCCACAGCAAGGGCUGGGCAGAAAGCACAUUAGGUGUAGUACCUGUUUUUGGUCAUGUCAUAAAAUUCUGACUUAAAGCUGGGAAUAUCAAAACUUUCCUAUUCUUAUAUGUUAGGAUUACAAAAAAGACUGUCAUAGAUGCUUAAUUUUUGUUGUUGUUGUUGCCUAGGCUGGAGUGCAGAGGCGUGAUCAUGGCUCACUGCAGCCUCUACCUCCCUGGGUUCCCACCUCAGCCUCCCAAGUAGCCGGAACCACAGGCAUGCACCGCCAUGCCCGGCUAAUUUGUGUAUUUUUUGCAGAGACAGGUUCAUCGUAUGUUGCCCAGGCUGGUCUCAAACUCCUGGGCUCAAGCGAUCUGCCUGCUUCAGUCUCCCAAAGUGCUGGGAUUACAGGCCUGAGCCACCACACCUGGCCCAUAGGUGCUUAAUUUUAUCUUGAGAAAAUAUUAAUUACAUAGCUUAUUUUAGAAAAUCUCUUUUUUCUCUGGAAAAAGAAUUAUUGAAGACUGAAGAUGACUGUUAGCUCUGUCACUUUUCUUGUAUGUGCAAAGGAAAAUUGUGUUGACUCUGCUUGUCUUAAUUAUGACUAAAACUAAAUUUCAUUUUGUUUUUUCAAGAAAUCCUGGCCGCUGCAAGGAGCUCCUUUUGCUUUGUUUUUCCGAUUUCCUGAUUGGGCGAUAUCUUGAAGUAAAUGUUAUCAGUGGGGAGGAGUUACUAAUUGCUGUGCGUGAACCAUUUUCUUGGAAAAAGCUUAAAAGUUCACAAGCAUUAACAUCUGCAAAAACUACAGUUGUUGUGACCCCACAGAAAAGGUACCCUAAGUGAAAUGAGUGUGGCUCUUGGUCUGGCAGUUUUAUUUGCUGGGUUUCAAGUCUCUUUUCAUGAUUGUAUUUGGGGGAUGGGGUGCAUUUCCAUGGAACUCUGAAGGUCAAGUUCUGUCUCUGCAGCUGCCCAGCAGCAGCCUGAAGCCCAAGGAAGACAGCCUUCACUCCCUCAAGCCCCACUCUGCCCUGGCAGUUCUAAAGGUGGCUCUCAGAGCAGGCUGGCCUCACCCAGCUCCCACCACCUCUCCCAUCCUGACGAGGCCAUGGUGGGUAGUGCAAGGCAUCCCUGUGUCACUUGCACUGGGGGCAACAGGAUUGUGGGGUCACCCGAAGCCUGUUUGAAGAUGUGGUACCACUUAAGAAUGAAGUUAGAAGAAACUGUGUGUGAUCUGGGACUUGUGGCUGGGGAACAUAGGGACCACCCAGAUUUUAACUGGAGUUUUGUCUCAGGAAAGCAUUUCAUGUCCACGUGUUCUCUUCUGUAGUUAUAAAACCAAAAAGCCCUGAACAGCAG